Molecule: ribosomal RNA, 259 nt
Filed under: Escherichia coli
Lineage: Bacteria; Pseudomonadati; Pseudomonadota; Gammaproteobacteria; Enterobacterales; Enterobacteriaceae
Description: partial 23S ribosomal RNA
Rfam family: Bacterial large subunit ribosomal RNA
Source: RNAcentral
GACAGCCAGGAUGUUGGCUUAGAAGCAGCCAUCAUUUAAAGAAAGCGUAAUAGCUCACUGGUCGAGUCGGCCUGCGCGGAAGAUGUAACGGGGCUAAACCAUGCACCGAAGCUGCGGCAGCGACGCUUAUGCGUUGUUGGGUAGGGGAGCGUUCUGUAAGCCUGUGAAGGUGUACUGUGAGGUAUGCUGGAGGUAUCAGAAGUGCGAAUGCUGACAUAAGUAACGAUAAAGCGGGUGAAAAGCCCGCUCGCCGGAAGAC